UCAGGAGAGUGGUUCUUUGUACCUAGUAAGAUGACAGCAAUGGGAUUGUCACACUGACAUCCAUAAAAGCACUAGGAUUUGUAGAGCUUAAUUUAUCAGCUAUGUCGAAUAUUUAUGGAUAGUGUUUGAGUGAGAGGAGGGGCCACACAGAACAUGACUUGGACAUGAACAUGAAGUUGUAUUCUUAUUUCCUCUCCAAGAGUCAAGCUCAGUUUCUAUGGGAGCAGCCAGCCAGAGGAGCCUUGAAGUCGAAGGAAAGGAGGAAGCAAAGCCAGGUGUGCAAUGGAGGAACAUGAUGGGCCCCAAGGUUGGGCUGAGAGUGGACUGAUCCUGAAAUAACUGAACAACUAUCUGAUGGAUUGCCAAAGGAAAAAAAGAAUUCCUUGCCUCAACAAGAUACGCCCAACCAACACUGAUGAUACCUGAGCUACCGGCACCACUGCUUGAGUUUCAAAAACUGGGCUAACCUCAAAGUAGUGGGUGUCUUGCCACACAACACAACAUGGAGAGAGGGUCUGAUCAGCUUUCAAACAGGGAACUCUGCUUCACCACAGGGUUGGUGCUGCCAUCUUAGAGCAGGGGCAAACAUUGGAACUUGACAGUGUGGGCGAAUGAACCUGCAAAUGAUACCUACAGGGGUUUGGACUGGAAUAUUGUCAAUCAGAGUGAAUGAGAAGGAGAGAAGCUAUGGGGUGUUGUGUAUGUGCUUGUGCAGAACACAUCUCCAUGCCUGUGCUAGUGUGUCUUUUGAUAUAUUAUGCAUAGGGUGUAUACUGCCCAUGUCUCCGUCUCUGCACUUGUGCAUGUUGAUCCAUGCAAUAAACAUAAGGUGUAUUCAUCCGUCAGGUAUAAAAUAUGAAGUAUCUAAUUGAGGAGCCCAACAGGUAAAGGAGAGGAGAGGCAUAGCUCCAGCAUCCUGACCUGAAAUGAUCUGUUGUCUCCUGUUGGGGUUUCAUUUCAUGGUUAAAUGUGAAGUUAAUGGCUGGUCUUACAUGACAGUGGCUUCAGUGUCUUUGACUUAAGCCUCAAUUUGUCCCUGUGGCUCUAAAAGAAUACAGCCUUCUCUUAACAGCAGAACAACAACGGCGUGCUUAUAUAAAGGUUUGUUUUAGUACACUCACUUCACAAUAAAAAAAAUGACUGACCUGCUUUAAACUCAUA
Molecule: long non-coding RNA, 1161 nt
Organism: Notolabrus celidotus (New Zealand spotty)
Lineage: Eukaryota; Metazoa; Chordata; Actinopteri; Labriformes; Labridae
Exons: 5
Source: RefSeq, a predicted model, not a curated record